AGAAAAGGGUCAGAAUCGCUUCAAUGGGAGAGCACAGGACUGAAAAUC
This 48-nucleotide transfer RNA is filed under the name Leymus coreanus. Its description in RNAcentral is "partial tRNA-Phe". Lineage: Eukaryota; Viridiplantae; Streptophyta; Magnoliopsida; Poales; Poaceae. The record is from RNAcentral.